AUUGAACGCUGGCGGCAUGCCUUACACAUGCAAGUCGAACGGCAGCACGGGUGCUUGCACCUGGUGGCGAGUGGCGAACGGGUGAGUAAUACAUCGGAACGUACCUUAUCGUGGGGGAUAACGCAGCGAAAGCUGUGCUAAUACCGCAUACGCCCUGAGGGGGAAAGCGGGGGAUCGCAAGACCUCGCGCGAUUAGAGCGGCCGAUGCCUGAUUAGCUAGCUGGUGGGGUAAAAGCCCACCAAGGCGACGAUCAGUAGCUGGUCUGAGAGGACGAUCAGCCACACUGGGACUGAGACACGGCCCAGACUCCUACGGGAGGCAGCAGUGGGGAAUUUUGGACAAUGGGGGCAACCCUGAUCCAGCAAUGCCGCGUGAGUGAAGAAGGCCUUCGGGUUGUAAAGCUCUUUUGUCAGGGAAGGAACACCGGCUCUAACACAGUCCGGGAAUGACGGUACCUGAAGAAUAAGCACCGGCUAACUACGUGCCAGCCGCCGCAGUAA
Molecule: ribosomal RNA, 501 nt
Filed under: uncultured bacterium
Lineage: Bacteria
Description: partial 16S ribosomal RNA
Rfam family: Bacterial small subunit ribosomal RNA
Source: RNAcentral